This 441-nucleotide ribosomal RNA is filed under the name uncultured bacterium. RNAcentral's name for it is "partial 16S ribosomal RNA". It matches the Rfam family "Bacterial small subunit ribosomal RNA", at positions 338 to 795 of the family's 1533-position model. The record is from RNAcentral.
CCUACGGGAGGCAGCAGUCGGGAAUAUUGCGCAAUGGACGAAACUCUGACGCAGCAACGCCGCGUAUAGGAAGAAGUUUUUCGGAUUGUAAACUACUUUCCUUAGGGAAGAGAAAGGUCAGUGUCCAUGGAGAAUGCGCCAGGGAACAACGCGUCAGCAGCCGCGGUAAUACGUAGGGAUCGAGCGUUAUCCGGAAUUAUAGGGUGUAAAGGGUGCGUGGACGGGAAAACAAGAUAGUUGUGAAAUCCCUCGGCUUAACUGAGGACCUGCAACUAAAAAUAUUUUUCUUGAGUGCAGGAGAGGUAAGUGGAAUUCCUAGUGUAGCGGUGAAAUGCGUAGAUAUUAGGAGGAACACCAGUGGCGAAGGCGAUUUACUGGACUGUAACUGACGUUGAGGCACGAAAGUGUGGGGAGCAAACAGGAUUAGAUACCCGGGUAGUC